Molecule: ribosomal RNA, 468 nt
Filed under: uncultured bacterium
Lineage: Bacteria
Description: partial 16S ribosomal RNA
Rfam family: Bacterial small subunit ribosomal RNA
Source: RNAcentral
GACGAACGCUGGCGGCGUGCUUAACACAUGCAAGUCGAACGGAAAGGCCCUGCUUUUGUGGGGUGCUCGAGUGGCGAACGGGUGAGUAACACGUGAGUAACCUGCCCUUGACUUUGGGAUAACUUCAGGAAACUGGGGCUAAUACCGGAUAGGAGCUCUUGCUGCAUGUUGGGGGUUGGAAAGUUUCGGCGGUUGGGGAUGGACUCGCGGCUUAUCAGCUUGUUGGUGGGGUAGUGGCUUACCAAGGCUUUGACGGGUAGCCGGCCUGAGAGGGUAACCGGCCACAUUGGGACUGAGAUACGGCCCAGACUCCUACGGGAGGCAGCAGUGGGGAAUAUUGCACAAUGGGCGGAAGCCUGAUGCAGCAACGCCGCGUGCGGGAUGACGGCCUUCGGGUUGUAAACCGCUUUCGCCUGUGACGAAGCGUGAGUGACGGUAAUGGGUAAAGAAGCACCGGCUAACUACGUG